UACGUAGGGGGCGAGCGUUGUCCGGAGUUACUGGGCGUAAAGGGCACGCAGGCGGUGCGGCGCGUUUCGCGUGACAGCGGAGGGCUUACCUCUCCGAGGAUGCGAAAGACGGCGGCACUUGAGGGCCAGAGAGGGACACGGAAUUCCGGGUGGAGUGGUGAAAUGCGUAGAGAUCCGGAGGAACACCGAAGGCGAAGGCAGUGUCCUGGCUGGUGACUGACGCUGAGGUGCGAAAGCUAGGGGAG
RNAcentral lists this ribosomal RNA (245 nucleotides) under uncultured Ktedonobacter sp. Its description in RNAcentral is "partial 16S ribosomal RNA". It matches the Rfam family "Bacterial small subunit ribosomal RNA", at positions 524 to 768 of the family's 1533-position model. Lineage: Bacteria; Bacillati; Chloroflexota; Ktedonobacteria; Ktedonobacterales; Ktedonobacteraceae. The record is from RNAcentral.